Molecule: long non-coding RNA, 408 nt
Organism: Rhipicephalus sanguineus (brown dog tick)
Lineage: Eukaryota; Metazoa; Arthropoda; Arachnida; Ixodida; Ixodidae
Exons: 4
Source: RefSeq, a predicted model, not a curated record
UGCAAACCAGCAAAUUUAAGAAAAAAGAUUACUCUAACAUUGACCCUGCAGUAUCGGGCCGCUACACUAUUUUUUUCGCUCAAGAUGACUGCUUUGUUGUUGCCACAACUAUGCAAGAUAACAAGCUGCCAGAGGGAAACAGCACUGCCGCAGCAUUCACAGGAAACCCACAGUGCUUGCUCUGGAGGAGGCCAGAGGGCACGAAACAAGAGCAUUCCGCAUGCAUAAGUGCAUUUACGAAGAUAUGCAGCUUUUACAGAGGACACGAAACUAGGUACAAAAAAGAAAUAUGCGCUGGUACAUAAAGGUAUAAGCGCUAUUCAAGAACAUCAGCGAAGAUUCACUACGUCAAAUUUAAGCCUGUCAGUACGCAAUUCCUUGUGAUGCCGAACUUAGGAAAUAAAGUAU